UGGGGAAUCUUGCACAAUGGGGGCAACCCUGAUGCAGCGACGCCGCGUGAGCGAUGAAGGUUUUCGAAUCGUAAAGCUCUGUCCUAUGGAAAGAUAAUGACGGUACCAUAGGAGGAAGCCCCGGCUAACUACGUGCCAGCAGCCGCGGUAAUACGUAGGGGGCGAGCGUUGUCCGGAAUUACUGGGCGUAAAGGGUUCGCAGGCGGCAUGGCAAGUCCGAUGUAAAAGGCGAAGGCUCAACCUUCGUAAGCAUCGGAAACUGUCAAGCUUGAGUGAAGGAGAGGCAAGUGGAAUUCCUAGUGUAGCGGUGGAAUGCGUAGAUAUUAGGAGGAAUACCGGUGGCGAAGGCGACUUGCUGGACUUCAACUGACGCUGAGGAACGAAAGCGUGGGUAGCAAACAGG
Molecule: ribosomal RNA, 403 nt
Filed under: Bacteroidota bacterium
Lineage: Bacteria; Pseudomonadati; Bacteroidota
Description: Bacteroidetes bacterium partial 16S ribosomal RNA
Rfam family: Bacterial small subunit ribosomal RNA
Source: RNAcentral